RNAcentral lists this ribosomal RNA (388 nucleotides) under uncultured Streptococcus sp. RNAcentral's name for it is "bacterial SSU rRNA". It matches the Rfam family "Bacterial small subunit ribosomal RNA", at positions 1007 to 1396 of the family's 1533-position model. The record is from RNAcentral. Lineage: Bacteria; Bacillati; Bacillota; Bacilli; Lactobacillales; Streptococcaceae.
ACAUGGAAGUUCUUCGGCACAUCGGUGACAGGUGGUGCAUGGUUGUCGUCAGCUCGUGUCGUGAGAUGUUGGGUUAAGUCCCGCAACGAGCGCAACCCUUAUUGUUAGUUGCCAUCAUUNAGUUGGGCACUCUAGCGAGACUGCCGGUAAUAAACCGGAGGAAGGUGGGGAUGACGUCAAAUCAUCAUGCCCCUUAUGACCUGGGCUACACACGUGCUACAAUGGCUGGUACAACGAGUCGCAAGCCGGUGACGGCAAGCUAAUCUCUUAAAGCCAAUCUCAGUUCGGAUUGUAGGCUGCAACUCGCCUACAUGAAGUCGGAAUCGCUAGUAAUCGCGGAUCAGCACGCCGCGGUGAAUACGUUCCCGGGUCUUGUACACACCGAAAA